RNAcentral lists this ribosomal RNA (911 nucleotides) under Staphylococcus saprophyticus. Its description in RNAcentral is "bacterial SSU rRNA". It matches the Rfam family "Bacterial small subunit ribosomal RNA", at positions 79 to 974 of the family's 1533-position model. Lineage: Bacteria; Bacillati; Bacillota; Bacilli; Caryophanales; Staphylococcaceae. The record is from RNAcentral.
CUUGCUCCUUUGAAGUUAGCGGCGGACGGGUGAGUAACACGUGGGUAACCUACCUAUAAGACUGGGAUAACUUCGGGAAACCGGAGCUAAUACCGGAUAACAUUUAGAACCGCAUGGUUCUAAAGUGAAAGAUGGUUUUGCUAUCACUUAUAGAUGGACCCGCGCCGUAUUAGCUAGUUGGUAAGGUAACGGCUUACCAAGGCGACGAUACGUAGCCGACCUGAGAGGGUGAUCGGCCACACUGGAACUGAGACACGGUCCAGACUCCUACGGGAGGCAGCAGUAGGGAAUCUUCCGCAAUGGGCGAAAGCCUGACGGAGCAACGCCGCGUGAGUGAUGAAGGGUUUCGGCUCGUAAAACUCUGUUAUUAGGGAAGAACAAAUGUGUAAGUAACUGUGCACAUCUUGACGGUACCUAAUCAGAAAGCCACGGCUAACUACGUGCCAGCAGCCGCGGUAAUACGUAGGUGGCAAGCGUUAUCCGGAAUUAUUGGGCGUAAAGCGCGCGUAGGCGGUUUCUUAAGUCUGAUGUGAAAGCCCACGGCUCAACCGUGGAGGGUCAUUGGAAACUGGGAAACUUGAGUGCAGAAGAGGAAAGUGGAAUUCCAUGUGUAGCGGUGAAAUGCGCAGAGAUAUGGAGGAACACCAGUGGCGAAGGCGACUUUCUGGUCUGUAACUGACGCUGAUGUGCGAAAGCGUGGGGAUCAAACAGGAUUAGAUACCCUGGUAGUCCACGCCGUAAACGAUGAGUGCUAAGUGUUAGGGGGUUUCCGCCCCUUAGUGCUGCAGCUAACGCAUUAAGCACUCCGCCUGGGGAGUACGACCGCAAGGUUGAAACUCAAAGGAAUUGACGGGGACCCGCACAAGCGGUGGAGCAUGUGGUUUAAUUCGAAACAACGCGAAGAACCUUAC